Vespula pensylvanica (western yellowjacket) is the source of this 3854-nucleotide long non-coding RNA. RefSeq lists it as uncharacterized. NCBI's taxonomy places the organism in Eukaryota, Metazoa, Arthropoda, Insecta, Hymenoptera, Vespidae. The transcript is spliced from 3 exons. The record is from RefSeq and is a predicted model, not a curated record.
GUUCAUACCGCCAUCUACUUCUCUAUUUUCAUAGUUAUAAUUUUCAUUAGUCAAAGAAUGUCGAGUUAGUUGCUGAAUGGGUUAUUAUAUUGGAAAUGCAGAUAUAUUAUAUCUCAUAUAAAACCAUAAUAGUAUAAUGGAAGAAACAUCUUCGCAGGAUAAAAUUUGUAAACUUAGAUAUUUGCAGAGGAAAAAGACGAUAUGGUGUGAAAAACAAAUGGUUGUUAUAUAUUUAUUACAUAUAGCUAUGAUAUAGUAACAUGCAUAAAUGCUUAUCAUUAAUCUUUAUUUGUUCUAGGGAAAAUGUGUAAAUAUAAGGAGAUAGGUUAGAAUUAAAUUCAGUUUAAAACAAAAAAAUUGGAAAAGAGAAAGCGGGACAUAUACAUCGUGAUUAAUACAAGGAUCACUCGGGAAAUCUUCGUGCAUUAGAGUUUUUCUAUGACGGACAAGUACAAAUAUCAGUGUGCACCAUCGUUGAUACCGUCGUAUUUCAUCAAGCAUCCGACAUCCUACAUGAAAUACAAAAUACCUUCAAUCCUUUUACAGAUUUACAAAAAGAUAAAUAGGAGGAAUAACACCUUUACAUACUCGACUUUAUAUUUUUUGCAAUUGUUCAAAUUUACACACACACAAAGAAACUUAUACAUAUAUUUAUAAGCGAUAUCUUAUAUAAAAAUAUUACAUACAUCGAUAUCAUCUCAAGUCUUACGAACGAUCAGUAUCUAAAUCGAAAAGAGUGAGCAGUCUAAUAUCCUCGCAACGAAUCGUUCAAAUUCUUGAGGCGAAAUGCUUCGAUCUACGGAGAAAUCCAUUUCAGAUAUCCUCUACGGAAUUGAACACAGGGUGAGUAUCUUUCUCAACGAGAAACUUUAGAGUACCGUUCGAUCAUGGUUUAAAUUUUCUAUUAACUUAAAUGAAACUUUAUACAGAAUAUUUUACGAUUGUAAAAAAGUAAAACAAAAGAGGUUCAAAUAAUACGAACCAACGCCUAUUCAAUGAAUUUCGAAGCUAAUAUAGCAUUCUAUUACUGUCACCGAAAUUCUCAUACGAGUCCUGAAACCGGAUUGUUUAACACACUGUAUCAAGCAAGGAUUCAUCGACAUUUACUAUAUCUGCCAGUAGUACAGGACGUUUGCGAUCAAUCCCAUUCUUGAUCUGUCAAUUUUCGUUAAGGCCUGUCAAUCUUUGGACGGCCUCAAUUAAAUCGGCGAACGGGCGAGUUGAUCGUCGUCGUCGAAAUCUGAAAACGAAUAUGUUAAACGAGUCAAGCUUGUUUAUAAUCGAUAUAACGUUUGACUCGUGCGUCGUUAUAAGUUUCUCGACGUAGUGCGUCGUAUAGGUGUAAAUGGAACGUUCCGUGAGACGGAAGUACAUCGAACUUAUCUAAAUUGAGUCCUCGUAGUACCACCGCAGUUAGAUUAGUCUCUCCUGCAUAUAGAUCUGUCCGUCUGUCCGUACAUUCAUCCUGUCUGUCUGUUCGUUCAUCCGUCCGUCCGUUCGUCCACUCGUCCGUCCGUCCGUCCGUCUAUCUGUCCAUUCUUCGGUCCGUCGGUCCGUCCGUCCGUCGUCCGUCCGUCGUCCGUCCUCACUAUUCACUACUGUUACCGUAGGAACUAACGUGUCACUGCAUGCACCGUGAAAUUAAAUGAUCUCGAUUAACAGAAUCGGUCGGAGUACGCGUUCAUCGCCGCUGGUGAACAAAAGUGGAUUUUCGACAAUCUCUUGGGAAAAUAUUCCUCCCCUUUUUUUUGCAAUCCAUGCAAUUAUUUAACGUUUCGAUCUCUCGAAAAUAUCCGUGCUUGCAAUCUCUCAAACGAACGAACGGUCAAAGUAUACAAAAGAAUAAGGACGCACACAAACGAAAUUUUAACGAUGUAUACUGUAGAUGCAAAGAAAAAAGAAAAGAAUGACGAACAAAUGAGAACGCGUUAGGUGUUUCAGUCUUCUUUGACAAAUAUCAGCAAAUUGAGUAAAUCUUCGGAGCAUGAUUAUAUAUGAAAGCGGAGUCACGUAUUCUUCAAGUUCAAGCAUUCGUUAUACUCUAAAUAAAACACCCGAUAUAUCGAAUAGGAUGAAGGAUCGUGGUGAAAAUGCGACGGAACUUCUAAAUCAUUAUUACAUUUACCACUGGUUGGCACUUUACCUUUCUUGUAUAUAUAGGAAAUAUACAAACAUGUACUAUAUAUAGUAUAUAUACUCACACACACGAUUUAAAGCUACUUCCUUCAUGGUCUAUUUUAUUUUUGAUACCGAUAAAUCGUCUGGCAGUACACGCACAUGAAGUUUCACUUAAAGCAAGUCGGUACGGUCACGAUUCCAGACAUAUGUAAUAUCGUUAAAUCUACGAUCUAUCGUUAGAUGUCUUGAAACUACGUGGAAGUCCCAAACGACUUUUCAAAUAUUAGAAUUCUUUCUUUUCUUUAUUUUGUGAAUGAUCGAUCGUAUAACGAAGAUUUAUUCGUUUUAAGCUUUUCAUUAUCGAUGUCCAUUCAACAAUACGCGUCGCUAUUUUUUUUUGUCGAGCAUACGUUGAAACAGCAAUAUCGUUGCGACUCUCAGAGCUUUAUAUUGUUCGUAAUGAAAAAAAAAUAUAUAAUAGUUCUUAUAUGUAUAUAUAUAUAUAUUUUUUUUUUAAUCGAACAGAAUCUACAUAUAUCGCCAUUCGACAGAGAUACGAGCGUUGUUAUAUCGUCAAGCUGACAAUCAUGAAUAUGUCCAGUGAUUGACGCCAACCGAGUUAAAUAAACUAGAUGUUAUAUAGAUAAAUUUUACAUUUAUCUUCGAUUUAGCCUGUCAGAAAAUUUAUUGGUUUUUAAAAAUCAAAUAGGUCAUAUAUCUGUGAUAAAUCGUACGAAUUUGCGGCAAUAUUUGAUCCGUUUAUUUGUUUCUUCAUAAUGCUAUAAUACGAAUUCUCGUGCAAGAUUUCUGGCGUCGGAUCGCGAUCGUAAACGCACGACUGGAUCGUCUUUCAUUAUCUCAUAUAUUUUAAGUACGUAUAAGACUACAGUCAUCAAUCUUCAUCUGCCCGCGAGUAAUUUAAUUAGUUCACGUUUUCCGCCGUAUAAAUAUUCUCGUAUGUAGGAAGGUAUAUAUCUUAGAGGUUCAUUGCUUCGGCCACCCUCUAAAAUAAAUGCAUAUUCAUGAUACGCAUAAACAAGGGAAGACUAACGGAUGUAUAAAUACAUUCAACUUACGUAUUUGUAUAUCCACAUUCGAGGCACAUCUACUGAUACACAAAGACAAUUGAAACUUUUAAGAGAUUCAUUUUGCAGUUAAGUACCGUACAACGUGGCACGUAAAUGAUUAAGUCGAUUAUACGAGGAAUGCCUGGAAUUUCGGUGCGAGGUUUAAUUAGAUCAUCAAUGAGUACGAUCGGCGAUUGGAAAACGAUCGGUGCCCGGAGGGAAGUGCCUUUAUCGAGGGAUGAUAAACUGUAUUCGAGUAUAUUCUCAAAUUGAUUUUUAUCCAAUCCCAAAUUCGAUAAACGUUUCGCGAAUAUUGUUAAAAAUAGUAACAUCGUGGAUUAGUGCGUGCCAAAGUAAAAAACUGGUUAAUAUUUAAUGAACGUGGAUUUAUGAGUUUCGAUUAAUCGUGUUAAUAUUAAAAUAUAAUAUUACAACUUUCCGGUUGUACCAAUCGUAAACGUGGAUAUCCCAUCGUAGUUGCUCGAAAUUAUUUUCCCUCGCUGAAUUUUACACUUCCUAAGGACAUUAAAAGAGUUUAUUGAAGAAUAAUAAAUAAAAAAUUGUAUACGACAUGAAAUAUCCGAACAACAUGGUACGAAUUAAUAUAUCUGUCACGAUACUCGGCGGAUUACGGAUUGCGAUCACCAUAAAUAUAUAAAUUUGAAAGGA